GAUUUAAGGUUUGUGAAUUGACAAAUAAUGCAGAAAGAAAUUUCAAAGAGGCUGAACAAUGAUGUAACAACUACACUUUCAAAACUAUAGACCUACAACAGUUUGUUUAAAAGCGUAACUGAUUAAAAGAAUGAGAUUGCCAAAAGAAAACACAGCACGACCACUGCUUAACUGAACCACAUUCUCAACACACAAACAUAAACGUAGUGAUCCUAUACAUCCAUCAUAUUCUUUUUCUCUGUUUCCAUAUCCCUGAUCCCAAUUCUUUAUCCCAUCCUUUCAGUGUUGUUUUUUGCUCACUCUCAAUGUCACGCCCCUAUCUCGACAUACGUCCAGGCUCGACACAUGACGUCACCAACUACUCGUAUCUCUAACAUAUCCCGCCACCAGGAUAUGCAAAACACAACUCGAGAACCAAUUGCGUAAUAAAUUUUUGUAUACUUUAUGGUUGCAUCUAACCUCUUCGUUAGACUGUCUACGUACCCUCAAUAGAGAUCAAGCCAUUCGUAGUUCAACUUCGCUAUAACUCGACAUAUAACACAAUCUAUUCAAGCCAAAAUGCAUAACAUUCCUCAAUCAAACAUUUGGACUUGACGAGCAUGAAUUAUUCGAUUCAAACUACAUAACAACCCGCAUGACAAUCAAGGUUUCUAUUUCAUCCAUCAUAUACAUCAUUAUGUUUCAACAUAAAAUCACUAUUCAUAUCAAGUAAUAUAUCAAAGAAUCAAUAAAGCACAAUAGUAUCCUCUAGUCGCAUUGAUCACUGAUCUAAUCAUUAUAAUAACAAUCAUAUUCAACAUCCUUCCACAAUCAUCUCAAGUAACCCAUUCCAUGAUAUCAAGGAUGCACGAUAUUAACAUUUAAUUAUGUUAAUCAGUCAAUCAGAUCACAUCUCAAUGCACAAAAUUAAUAAAGGACUUCUAUAUAAUUCCCCUGGAUUUCAAGUAAUAACUUGAUAAUUCAAAUUUAUAUUCACAAAAUUUAUUGUGGGUAAUUCUCAUUCACUCGAAUCCAAGGUACAAGUCUAACUUAUAGAAAUGAGCAAGAGUAGGGAUUCCAGACCACUCAACGGAAUCCAAAUCAAGAUACGAUUCCAGACCACUCAACGGAAUCCAACCACAUCGGCUUCCGGAUCACUUAACGGAACCAAAAUUAUCCAUCGGUUUCUUGCAUGUAAAAUUAGUGACAUCGAUGACAAUCUAUAAACAUCAAGUAUAGAAUUAUGCUUUAUGAAAUCAUAAUCAAGUCACUGACAACUUCGAAGGAGUCACCCAGACAUCCAACGACUUUUUUAAUUUAAAGCACAAGAUUCUCAAAAUCCAUCGUUCAUAUGUACAUUAAAAACUAGGGCUAGAUGGACGCAGUUCGGCCGAAGCCUACAUCUUUGAAGCUAUCUCAAUCCAAACUCAAUGAAACCCGAGGUGGAUACGACCCCGGACCAUCACUCAAAAAAAUCACGGAGUAGGAGGGAUUCCGGACCAUCUCUCAACGGAAUCCAAGUGGAUACGAUUUCGGACCAUCACUCAACAGAAUCGCGGAAGGCCAACAACCAUAUAUACAAUGACUCAAAGAAAUGAGACAAGCACAAGUUACUUAAUUUACAAAAGCUUAACCAAGGGAAAUAAGGCACAAAUACUAAAUUUAGAACGAAUCAACGAAGUGGAAGAUGAAACCAUAUCGAAUCAACAAAUCCCCAUCACCACAGUUUAACGGUCUACCACUAGUCCUCACAUUUCAUCACAACAGGCCAAUCAAACCAAUCAAACCAAUCAAACCAUAUUUCAAUAUAUAUACAUGUCAAAUCUCAUUUCAUAAACCUAAAUUAAUAAAGGACUUCUAUAUAAUUCUCUGCCUGGAUUUCAAGUAAUAACUUGAUAAUUCAAAUUUAUAUUCACAAGAUUUAUUGUGGGUAAUUCUCAUUCACUUGAAUCCAAGGUACAAGUCUAACUUAUGGAAAUGAGCAAGAGUAGGGAUUCCAUACCACUCAACGGAAUCCAACCACAUCGGGUUCC
RNAcentral lists this long non-coding RNA (2012 nucleotides) under Malus domestica (apple). Its description in RNAcentral is "long non-coding RNA (MDOM_LNC002123)". Lineage: Eukaryota; Viridiplantae; Streptophyta; Magnoliopsida; Rosales; Rosaceae. The record is from RNAcentral.